This 801-nucleotide ribosomal RNA is filed under the name uncultured bacterium. RNAcentral describes it as "bacterial SSU rRNA". It matches the Rfam family "Bacterial small subunit ribosomal RNA", at positions 100 to 879 of the family's 1533-position model. The record is from RNAcentral.
CACGGGUGAGUAACACGUGGGUAACCUGCCUUUGAAUUUGGGAUAACUUCGCGAAAGCGUUGCUAAUACCAGAUAUUGUUACAUUAACUCCGGUUUUGUAAUGAAAGGUGACCUCUUCAUGAAAGUUGCCGUUCAAAGAGGGGCCCGCGUACCAUUAGCUAGUUGGUGGGGUAAUGGCCUACCAAGGCUACGAUGGUUAGCUGGUCUGAGAGGAUGAUCAGCCACACUGGAACUGAAACACGGUCCAGACUCCUACGGGAGGCAGCAGUGAGGAAUUUUGCGCAAUGGGGGAAACCCUGACGCAGCAACGCCGCGUGAGUGAAGAAGGCUCUCGGGUCGUAAAGCUCUGUCAGAUAGGAAAAAAGUUCAUUAGUAAAUAGCUUGUGAAUCUGAUGGUACUAUCAGAGGAAGCACCGGCUAACUCCGUGCCAGCAGCCGCGGUAAUACGGAGGGUGCAAGCGUUGUUCGGAAUUACUGGGCGUAAAGAGCGUGUAGGCGGUAUGGUAAGUCAGAUGUGAAAGCCCUGGGCUUAACCUAGGAAGUGCAUUUGAUACUGCCAUUCUUGAGUAUGGGAGAGGAGAGUAGAAUUCCCAGUGUAGAGGUGAAAUUCGUAGAUAUUGGGAGGAAUACCCGUGGCGAAGGCGACUCUCUGGACCAAUACUGACGCUGAGACGCGAAAGCGUGGGGAGCAAACAGGAUUAGAUACCCUGGUAGUCCACGCCGUAAACGAUGAGAACUAGGUGUAGCGGGUAUUGACCCCUGCUGUGCCGAAGUUAACGCAUUAAGUUCUCCGCCUGGGGA